This 2027-nucleotide ribosomal RNA is filed under the name human gut metagenome. Its description in RNAcentral is "bacterial LSU rRNA". It matches the Rfam family "Bacterial large subunit ribosomal RNA", at positions 808 to 2925 of the family's 2925-position model. The record is from RNAcentral.
ACUGUGGGUAGCGGAGAAAUUCCAAUCGAACCCGGAGAUAGCUGGUUCUCUCCGAAAUAGCUUUAGGGCUAGCCUUGAAAUAGAUUACCGGAGGUAAAGCACUGAAUUGGCUAGGGGCCGAGAGGUUACUGAACCUUAUCAAACUAAGAAUGCCGGAUAAUCGUUUUUCAGGAGUCAGACAGUGGGAGAUAAGUUUCAUUGUCAAAAGGGAAACAGCCCAGACCCACAGCUAAGGUCCCCAAGUAUAGUUAAGUGGAAAAGGAUGUGGAAUUGCACAGACAACCAGGAUGUUGGCUUAGAAGCAGCCACUCAUUAAAAGAGUGCGUAAUAGCUCACUGGUCGAGUGACUCUGCGCCGAAAAUUUAACGGGGCUAAACUAUACACCGAAGCUUGGGAUACAUCUAAUGUAUGGUAGGAGAGCGUUCUGUAUGGGGAGAAGUCGUAGCGAAAGCGGCGGUGGACUAUACAGAAGUGAGAAUGCCGGAAUAAGUAGCGAGAAUUAAGUGAGAAUCUUAAUGGCCGAAAGUCUAAGGUUUUUGGAGGAAGGUUCGUCCGCUCCAAGUAAGUCGGGAGCUAAGGUCAGGCCGAAAGGCGUAGCCGAUGCACAUACGGUUGAUAUUCCGUAACCAUCUGUAAUUUAAGCAAAGGGACACUUCAAAAGGGUGUGACCCGGGCGUUGGUUGACCCGGGCGUAAGGGACCGAAAUUAGAGUAGGGAAGCACACUUAGCUGAAGGCGAGAAAAGCUUUGCGUAUAGAAACAGAUGCCCGUACCGCAAACCGACACAGGUGGACAGGAAGAGAAUUCUAAGGCCAGCGGGAGAAGGGUAGUUAAGGAACUCGGCAAAUUGACUCCGUAACUUCGGAAUAAGGAGUGCUCGAAAGAGCCGCAGAGAAUAGGCCCAGGCGACUGUUUAGCAAAAACACAGGUCUCUGCCAAAUCGAAAGAUGAAGUAUAGGGGCUGACACCUGCCCGGUGCCGGAAGGUUAAGAGGAGGAGUGAGAGCUCCGAAUUGAAGCCCCGGUAAACGGCGGCCGUAACUAUAACGGUCCUAAGGUAGCGAAAUUCCUUGUCGGGUAAGUUCCGACCCGCACGAAUGGUGUAACGAUCUGGGCACUGUCUCAACUACCCACCCGGCGAAAUUGUAGUACCGGUGAAGAUGCCGGUUACCUGCGGCAAGACGGAAAGACCCCAUGGAGCUUUACUGUAGCCUGAUAUUGGGUUUCGGAAAUCUAUGUACAGGAUAGGCGGGAGACUGGGAAACAUGAGCGUCAGCUUGUGUGGAGUCGAUGUUGGGAUACCGCCCUUAGGUUUCUGGAAUUCUAACCUGCGGCCGUGAAUCCGGUCGGGGGACAUUGUCAGGUGGGCAGUUUGACUGGGGCGGUCGCCUCCGAAAAGGUAACGGAGGCGCUCAAAGGUUAGCUCAGCACGGACGGAAACCGUGCCUCUGAGUGUAAACGCAAAAGCUAGCCUAACUGCGAGGGUGACGGCCCGAGCAGUAACGAAAGUUGGAGUUAGUGAUCCGGCGGUAUGUGAAUGGAAAUGCCGUCGCUCAACGGAUAAAAGCUACCCUGGGGAUAACAGGCUGAUCUCCCCCAAGAGUCCACAUCGACGGGGAGGUUUGGCACCUCGAUGUCGGCUCAUCGCAUCCUGGGGCUGAAGUCGGUUCCAAGGGUUGGGCUGUUCGCCCAUUAAAGCGGUACGCGAGCUGGGUUCAGAACGUCGCGAGACAGUUCGGUCCCUAUCUAUCACGGGCGUAGGAAAUUUGAGGAGAGCUGACCUUAGUACGAGAGGACCGGGUUGGACGUACCGCUGGUGCACCUGUUGUUCUGCCAAGGGCAUAGCAGGGUAGCUAAGUACGGACGGGAUAAACGCUGAAGGCAUCUAAGCGUGAAGCCCCCUUCGAGAUAAGAUUUCCCAUAGCGUAGGCUAGUAAGGACCCAUGAAGACUACAUGGUUGAUAGGCCGGAGGUGGAAGUGCAGUAAUGUAUGUAGCUGACCGGUACUAAUAGUCCGAGGGCUUGACCA